ACGAACGCUGGCGGCAGGCCUAACACAUGCAAGUCGAACGCUCCGCAAGGGGAGUGGCAGACGGGUGAGUAACACGUGGGAAUCUUCCUAUUGGUACGGAAUAGCUCAGGGAAACUUGGGGUAAUACCGUAUAAGCCCGAGAGGGGAAAGAUUUAUCGCCAGUAGAUGAGCCCGCGUCUGAUUAGCUAGUUGGUGAGGUAAUGGCUCACCAAGGCGACGAUCAGUAGCUGGUCUGAGAGGAUGAUCAGCCACACUGGGACUGAGACACGGCCCAGACUCCUACGGGAGGCAGCAGUGGGGAAUAUUGGACAAUGGGCGCAAGCUUGAUCCAGCCAUGCCGCGUGAGUGACGAAGGUCUUCGGACUGUAAAGCUCUUUUGGCGGGGACGAUAAUGACGGUACCCGCAGAAUAAGCCCCGGCUAACUUCGU
RNAcentral lists this ribosomal RNA (429 nucleotides) under uncultured bacterium. RNAcentral's name for it is "bacterial SSU rRNA". It matches the Rfam family "Bacterial small subunit ribosomal RNA", at positions 29 to 506 of the family's 1533-position model. The record is from RNAcentral.